Molecule: long non-coding RNA, 224 nt
Filed under: Physcomitrium patens
Lineage: Eukaryota; Viridiplantae; Streptophyta; Bryopsida; Funariales; Funariaceae
Description: long non-coding RNA (PPAT_LNC007108)
Source: RNAcentral
CCAGACUAUUGUCAUAAACAAGUACCUAGUCACCUUCCUCAAUUGCUUUUGGUUUCAAUCGAUGUUGCUUAUCGAUCGCACCUUGUUUUGUAACCUUGUUCUUUUUAACCUUUCCAAUGCUAUCUGCACAUCUUUCGUUCUUUGCUCCAAUUGUCAAAUCCUAAUAGCCAGAAAUUCUUCUCUUGUCAAUCCAUCUUCCCAUGGUAGCAUACUCCAAGUAAGUA